This 341-nucleotide long non-coding RNA is filed under the name Prunus persica (peach). RNAcentral's name for it is "long non-coding RNA (PPER_LNC005618)". Lineage: Eukaryota; Viridiplantae; Streptophyta; Magnoliopsida; Rosales; Rosaceae. The record is from RNAcentral.
AAUCAUUCAAUUUGGGAAUGCACCAGAUGCCAUACAACCAUCCAUCAGCUUAUUUUCCACUUCAACAACAACCCGGACCUGCUGGUCACCAGAACAUGCAGAUGCCACAAUUCAAUCAUUCCCAGUCUAAUAUGCCAACCCAUCUUCUGCAUCAAUCAAAUUCUCAUACUUUUUCAGAUAUUAUGCAGAACGGACCUGUUGGUCAGUUACAGGGGCUUGACAUCGGUACCAAAGGAGCACCUCUCGUGAAGUCGGAAGGCCCCUCGCUUUCUGCAAGUGAAAGUAGUACCACUUUUUGACACAACAAGCUGGCUGCUGAUCUUCUGACCUGUCCAUGGCAC